GCGGCGGGGCGGGCGGUACCUGGGCUCGGGCAGGGUGAUCUUCUUGCUGGCCCUGGCCGCCGGGGUGCUCUUGCUCUUCUCCAUCGCCAUCAGGUAGCUGACAUCGGCCAGCACCGCCUCCAGAAGGGGAACACCAGAGCCAACACCGGGCACAUGGGGCGAGGAGUGCGAUGGCUGCCUGCAAACAUCAGCACCCAGUCAAACGCGUAUCUUUAGAAUUAAUUUCCUCAUAGUUUAUUAAAACGUAUUCAUAAGAAAAACAGGAUACAAACAAA
Long non-coding RNA from Chiroxiphia lanceolata (lance-tailed manakin), 275 nucleotides. RefSeq lists it as uncharacterized. NCBI's taxonomy places the organism in Eukaryota, Metazoa, Chordata, Aves, Passeriformes, Pipridae. The transcript has 2 exons. The record is from RefSeq and is a predicted model, not a curated record.